AAGCUUGGUGUGAAAGACCGCAGCUCAACUGCGGGAGCGCGCUGAGAACUGUGUAUCUAGAGUUCAAGAGGGGAAGCUGGAACUCCUGGUGUAGGGGUGAAAUCUGUAGAUAUCAGGAAGAACAUCAGUGGCGAAGGCGAGCUUCUGGCUAUGAACUGACGCUGAGGCGCGAAAGCGUGGGGAGCGAACAGGAUUAGAUACCCUGGUAGUCCACGCUGUAAACGAUGUGCACUAGGUGUUGGGCCACGAAGGUUCAGUGCCGGAGUCAACGCGUUAAGUGCACCGCCUGGGGAGUAUGCUCGCAAGGGUGAAACUCAAAGGAAUUGACGGGGGCCCGCACAAGCGGUGGAGCAUGUGGUUUAAUUCGAUGGUACGCGAGGAACCUUACCAGGGUUUGACAUAUGCCGGAAUGUGCAGGAGACUGCGCAGCCCUUCGGGGCCGGUAUACAGGUGCUGCAUGGCCGUCGUCAGCUCGUGCCGUGAGGUGUUGGGUUAAGUCCCGCAACGAGCGCAACCCCUACCGUCUGUUGCCAGCAUUCAGUUGGGGACUCAGGCGGAACUGCCGGUGACAAACCNGGAGGAAGGUGGGGACGACGUCAGGUCAUCAUGGCCCUUAUAUCCUGGGCUACACACGUGCUACAAUGGUCGGUACAGAGCGAAGCAACACCGCGAGGUAGAGCAAAUCGCAGAAAGCCGGUCUCAGUUCGGAUUGGAGUCUGAAACCCGACUCCAUG
RNAcentral lists this ribosomal RNA (734 nucleotides) under uncultured spirochete. RNAcentral's name for it is "bacterial SSU rRNA". It matches the Rfam family "Bacterial small subunit ribosomal RNA", at positions 585 to 1322 of the family's 1533-position model. Lineage: Bacteria; Pseudomonadati; Spirochaetota; Spirochaetia; Spirochaetales. The record is from RNAcentral.